This 468-nucleotide ribosomal RNA is filed under the name uncultured bacterium. Its description in RNAcentral is "partial 16S ribosomal RNA". It matches the Rfam family "Bacterial small subunit ribosomal RNA", at positions 28 to 507 of the family's 1533-position model. The record is from RNAcentral.
GACGAACGCUGGCGGCGUGCUUAACACAUGCAAGUCGAACGGAAAGGCCCUGCUUUUGUGGGGUGCUCGAGUGGCGAACGGGUGAGUAACACGUGAGUAACCUGCCCUUGACUUUGGGAUAACUUCAGGAAACUGGGGCUAAUACCGGAUAGGAGCUCCUGCUGCAUGGUGGGGGUUGGAAAGUUUGGGGGGUGGGGGAUGGACUCGCGGCUUAUCAGCUUGUUGGUGGGGUAGUGGCUUACCAAGGCUUGGACGGGUAGCCGGCCUGAGAGGGUGACCGGCCACAUGGGGACUGGGAUACGGCCCAGACUCCUACGGGAGGCAGCAGUGGGGAAUAUUGCAAAAUGGGCGGAAGCCGGAUGCAGCAACGCCGCGUGCGGGAUGACGGCCUUCGGGUUGUAAACCGCUUUCGCCUGUGACGAAGCGUGAGUGACGGUAAUGGGUAAAGAAGCACCGGCUAACUACGUG